RNAcentral lists this small RNA (80 nucleotides) under Flavobacterium sp. 270. RNAcentral describes it as "Flavo-1 RNA". It matches the Rfam family "Flavo-1 RNA". Lineage: Bacteria; Pseudomonadati; Bacteroidota; Flavobacteriia; Flavobacteriales; Flavobacteriaceae. The record is from RNAcentral.
CCCUAGCCCUGAUCGAAGCGGCAUCCUUUUAUUUUUUUCCUUUAAAAAAAUAAAAGAUACAGCGGAGAGCAGGAUUAGCU